CUCUCUCUCUUUGAAAUGACCUGUGAUUGGCCAAGUCUCCCCUCAAGGGUAGAUUUACUAAAGCCUGAAUACAUAACCAAGGAGGAGGAGCAAUAGUCUAGUUUUCUUUCAAACAACUUGAAUUACAAUAUGCUGAAAUAUUAUUAUGGAAUUUUUGCCCAAUAACGCCAAAAAUA
This is a long non-coding RNA of Etheostoma cragini (Arkansas darter), 176 nucleotides long. RefSeq lists it as uncharacterized. Lineage: Eukaryota; Metazoa; Chordata; Actinopteri; Perciformes; Percidae. The record is from RefSeq and is a predicted model, not a curated record. The transcript is spliced from 3 exons.